AAAACUGUACACCCGGCAAGUCGAAAACCCCACAAGGGCGGCUUGGGCAAAAAAGGGUAUCCCGGUGGACUGAAAACCCGAAAGGGCGGUCCAAGAAAAAGAGGGAUUGAAACGAACAACUGCGUCUAGCAUGAUCGUUUGUGUUUUGGUUAAGGCACCUGGAUAAUCUCCAGCAGGGAUCAGUCGGAAGCGUCUUGUUCAGAAGGCAGAAAGAGC
This 216-nucleotide long non-coding RNA is filed under the name Lathyrus oleraceus (garden pea). RNAcentral describes it as "Pisum sativum (pea) long non-coding RNA (PSAT_LNC005661)". Lineage: Eukaryota; Viridiplantae; Streptophyta; Magnoliopsida; Fabales; Fabaceae. The record is from RNAcentral.